UAGGGAAUCUUCGGCAAUGGACGAAAGUCUGACCGAGCAACGCCGCGUGAGUGAAGAAGGUUUUCGGAUCGUAAAACUCUGUUGUUAGAGAAGAACAAGGACGUUAGUAACUGAACGUCCCCUGACGGUAUCUAACCAGAAAGCCACGGCUAACUACGUGCCAGCAGCCGCGGUAAUACGUAUGUGGCAAGCGUUGUCCGGAUUUAUUGGGCGUAAAGCGAGCGCAGGCGGUUUCUUAAGUCUGAUGUGAAAGCCCCCGUCUCAACCGGGGAGGGUCAUUGGAAACUGGGAGACUUGAGGGCAGAAGAGGAGAGUGGAAUUCCAUGUGUAGCGGUGCAAUGCGUAGAUAUAUGGAGGAACACCAGUGGCGAAGGCGGCUCUCUGGUCUGUAACUGGCGCUGAGGCUCGAAAGCGUGGGGAGCAAACAGG
This 429-nucleotide ribosomal RNA is filed under the name Gemmatimonadota bacterium. Its description in RNAcentral is "Gemmatimonadetes bacterium partial 16S ribosomal RNA". It matches the Rfam family "Bacterial small subunit ribosomal RNA", at positions 355 to 776 of the family's 1533-position model. Lineage: Bacteria; Pseudomonadati; Gemmatimonadota. The record is from RNAcentral.